Molecule: long non-coding RNA, 615 nt
Filed under: Eurytemora carolleeae
Lineage: Eukaryota; Metazoa; Arthropoda; Copepoda; Calanoida; Temoridae
Description: uncharacterized LOC111695313
Source: RNAcentral
AUAGAUCUAAGUAGAGGCUGCGUUUCUGCCGAAACUUGGGCAACCUUUUUACACAAGCGCUGCAGUGGUCUAAAACUCCCUUUUGGACUGAGCAGCGUGUAAAGGUUGAACGGUCGAAGUUUCUCUCGACAAAGAUUAAAUAGGUAUUAAAUCUAAAAUGUAUUUUCUAAUUAUGCAUACAAAAAUACACCACGGUUUUCUAUAAGUAACUUUUAUAGAAAACUGAAACCAGUGCUGAGGCAGUGCUGGAAACCUACCCUUUAGUACAGUGUAAACUGCUGUGCUCAACCUGGACUUUGUCAAGUCUUCAAGUCCCGAAAGGUAGAUCAAUUUCACAUAAUAAAAAACACUGAACAAUUUGUGAAAAUUAAUAUUAUUGAAAUCUAACAAUUCAAUAAUAAAUAAAUAACGUUGUUAUUUAAUUAGAACUCUUGGUGUGGAGUUUGAGAAUCUCUGUAGGUCGAUGUAAACUAAAAUGGUCCUACAGACAUUAUUGAUCGAUUGAUGAGUAUGCAAGCAUUGAACUGUGAACUACUGUGCUCUCAUGUAAAUGGAUACCCACCGUAAUUUUUCACCUGUUUUUGGAUUGCUGUCUAUAAAUAAAUUCUAAACUGA